GAUGAACGCUGGCGGCGUGCCUAAUACAUGCAAGUCGAGCGAACAGACGAGGAGCUUGCUCCUCUGACGUUAGCGGCGGACGGGUGAGUAACACGUGGAUAACCUACCUAUAAGACUGGGAUAACUUCGGGAAACCGGAGCUAAUACCGGAUAAUAUAUUGAACCGCAUGGUUCAAUAGUGAAAGACGGUUUUGCUGUCACUUAUAGAUGGAUCCGCGCCGCAUUAGUUAGUUGGUAAGGUAACGGCUUACCAAGGCAACGAUGCGUAGCCGACCUGAGAGGGUGAUCGGCCACACUGGAACUGAGACACGGUACAGACUGCUACGGGAGGCAGCAGUAGGGAAUCUACCGCAAUGGGCGAAAGCCUGACGGAGCAACGCCGCGUGAGUGAUGAAGGUCUUCGGAUCGUAAAACUCUGUUAUUAGGGAAGAACAAAUGUGUAAGUAACAAUGCACGUCUUGACGGUACCUAAUCAGAAAGCCACGGCUAACUACGUG
Molecule: ribosomal RNA, 497 nt
Filed under: uncultured bacterium
Lineage: Bacteria
Description: partial 16S ribosomal RNA
Rfam family: Bacterial small subunit ribosomal RNA
Source: RNAcentral